Molecule: long non-coding RNA, 282 nt
Organism: Pantherophis guttatus
Lineage: Eukaryota; Metazoa; Chordata; Lepidosauria; Squamata; Colubridae
Source: RefSeq, a predicted model, not a curated record
GCGUCCGAAUGUUGAUCAUAUGGGGAUGCUGCAAUGAUCAUGUGAAAAAUAGUCAUGUCAGUUUUUUCAUAAGUCAGUGCCAUUGUAACUUCGAACACUAAACCAAUGUAAUAUUGAUUCAUAAAUCAGGAACAAAUAUAUACAUGAAGGGAAAAAUGCAUGAGCGACAAUACCAAUCUAACAGGAACAGCUCUACCUCUCAUCUACUUUACCAAUAUUUUUUUAAAAAAUCUUUUAAACAUCAUAGCAAUAACUAAAAAUUGAUUAAAUCAUUCCAAGGCA